RNAcentral lists this ribosomal RNA (342 nucleotides) under Lactiplantibacillus plantarum. Its description in RNAcentral is "bacterial SSU rRNA". It matches the Rfam family "Bacterial small subunit ribosomal RNA", at positions 1 to 320 of the family's 1533-position model. The record is from RNAcentral. Lineage: Bacteria; Bacillati; Bacillota; Bacilli; Lactobacillales; Lactobacillaceae.
UUAGAGUUUGAUCCUGGCUCAGGACGAACGCUGGCGGCGUGCCUAAUACAUGCAAGUCGAACGAACUCUGGUAUUGAUUGGUGCUUGCAUCAUGAUUUACAUUUGAGUGAGUGGCGAACUGGUGAGUAACACGUGGGAAACCUGCCCAGAAGCGGGGGAUAACACCUGGAAACAGAUGCUAAUACCGCAUAACAACUUGGACCGCAUGGUCCGAGUUUGAAAGAUGGCUUCGGCUAUCACUUUUGGAUGGUCCCGCGGCGUAUUAGCUAGAUGGUGNGGUAACGGCUCACCAUGGCAAUGAUACGUAGCCGACCUGAGAGGGUAAUCGGCCACCAUUGGACU